Molecule: ribosomal RNA, 253 nt
Filed under: uncultured bacterium
Lineage: Bacteria
Description: partial 16S ribosomal RNA
Rfam family: Bacterial small subunit ribosomal RNA
Source: RNAcentral
UACGGGGGGAGCAAGCGUUGUUCGGAUUCAUUGGGCGUAAAGGGUGUGUAGGUGGCGCCGUUAGUCGGGUGUGAAAUUUCGGAGCUUAACUCCGAAACUGCAUUCGAUACUGCGGUGCUUGAGGACUGGAGAGGAGACUGGAAUUCAUGGUGUAGCAGUGAAAUGCGUAGAGAUCAUGAGGAAGACCAGUGGCGAAGGCGGGUCUCUGGACAGUUCCUGACACUGAGACACGAAGGCCAGGGGAGCAAACAGG